This is a long non-coding RNA of Cyprinus carpio (common carp), 505 nucleotides long. RefSeq lists it as uncharacterized. The transcript is spliced from 3 exons. The record is from RefSeq and is a predicted model, not a curated record. Lineage: Eukaryota; Metazoa; Chordata; Actinopteri; Cypriniformes; Cyprinidae.
UGAUAAUGUUUGUUAAUGAAAGAGAUUUAUUGAAAGAGAGUACGGGACAAAUUAAUAUUUAAACCUUAAACUAGCAGCGCGCGUCACUUUCUGAGUUAAGUGCGCGACGUGCGCGUGCCCGUCAUAUUGUAACGGUCAACUUCCAGCGGACGGACACGGAGGAAAAGGUCCUGACUGCCACCAGUUGAGUCAAUGAUUCAGUGAGUUGCUUAUAAGAAAAGAUAUUAAUCUGUUACCACCUAGUAGUUUAACUUUAUUAUUUAUUGCUGUAAAAUUAACACAUAUUUAUCAUCAAGUGGAGAGACAGUCUGGGCAGCAGCAACAAGACAACUAUUACAAGUAGAGAUGGGUUUUAAGAACUGACACAACCACAUAUCAUCCAAAUCAUCUCCAAGUGGAUGGCAGCAAGGAUCCAGGAUCAAGAGAUGAUUCAUCAUGAAGACUGUUCCAUAGGAAGCAGUGAAUCCUGGGUGAACAACUAAACCUGGUUGUUUCAGCAUCACUC